CAUUACUUACACAAAACUAAAAGUGUUGGAUUUAAAUAAUAUUUGUGUAUAUUGCUUUAGCCAAAAAGAGAUAAGUGUUAAAUAAGAUAAGUAUAUAAUUUAAAUUCGUAAAAAUGUCGGAUUAGAAAGAAAUUUCAUUCUCCCGCCCUACACCCAAAAAGGCAUUCAAGAAACUAUUUCAUUUUACCGCCCUACAUUCAAAAAACUAUAUCUUAAGAAGUCGGGCAGUUUUCAGGCUCUCAUUGCCACAAUCUUAGUGGAGUUUAGAUUGCCAAGUCCUCUGCUCCGGUAAAUCCCCACUACCCUAUCCAAAUGCUCCGAAAGAGUCACCUUUGAGUCAAUUUCCGGCCGCUAAGACAACUGCGCGGAGCUGAUCAAACUGAGGGCGCCUGUGGGAAGAUGCAUCAAGUUCUCCUAGGAAUGUUAAGCGGCGGCGCCGCCUCCAACCUUCCCCGCCGUCAGAAGACCUCAGCUGCCAAGAAGGUAUAAUCUUCAUCCAGUUGGUGUGAAAUCAGUUCAGAGGGUGACUAAAGAAAUUGUGCCCAUGAAGGAGAUGAAAAUGGAUUGGGUCUCUUUAGAAAAGGUAUCAGAAUUUCCUUUAAAGUUUCUCCUGCUCAUUUCGUGUGUCAUAUUGUUGACAACUUUUCCAUUGAUCUUAUAACACUUGUGUCCAAGAGUUGCUACUUCUUGCAGGGCUGGUCUAAGACAUCUCAAUAUAGAGCGUAAAAGAAGUUCGAGUAUUGCCUACCUUGUGAGUGAAAAUGCUAUAUUUUCUGAAGGAUUUCUAUUGCUUUCAUUUAUUAUUGCCCUUCCAAUUCUUGCAAUUUCUAGGUCUAAAGGAUUUUUUUAUAUGAUUGAUCUGGCAGAAAGCACACUUUAUUUUCUUAACUUUAGUUGCACCCUCUCUGUUUUUGUCAGGUAAGAGUGUUUUGUGGCAUAUGUAUUCAUCUUAUUGAAUCCAAUUAAGUUGUGUUUAAUUAAUAUAUAGAUGUGUAUCUUGAAUAAUUUUGUGUUUUUAUUAUCUUUACAGGAAUAACUGAAGCAGAUGUCAAUAUGCAGUUUAACCAAUACGUUGGAUUACUUUUCGUCAACGAAGCUUCAUAGAAAAUUAGAAUAGUUUGAUCAAUUGUGUAGUAUUAUUAUGUAAUGCUUUUUAUAGUUGUGACAUAAAUAAUGUGUACUUUGAUAUUAUUAAUAAAGUAAAUAUUUUUAUAUAAUCA
This is a long non-coding RNA of Salvia miltiorrhiza (redroot sage), 1220 nucleotides long. RefSeq lists it as uncharacterized. NCBI's taxonomy places the organism in Eukaryota, Viridiplantae, Streptophyta, Magnoliopsida, Lamiales, Lamiaceae. The transcript is spliced from 2 exons. The record is from RefSeq and is a predicted model, not a curated record.